GCACCGCCUGGAUUUGCAUCAAGAGAUCCUUCACCAGCUCUGGGAAGUUUUAGCAAAGGAAAGACUCAGGACCACCAGCAGUUGCCUGUUAACCUUCAGAAAGUCGCCUUGCUUUAGAGAGCUCACCAUGGCCUGGACUCUGUUUUUCCUGGUUCUUCUCAGUUACUGUUUAGGUAAACACAAAAAGAAGUAGACUUAAGCUGGCCUAAAUGGGGGGGGGGGGGGCCUUGAGGUAAUGUUUAUUUAUUAUAGUGCCUUAAAGUUCAGGUGAUAUGUGAGAACAGAGAGGAUUGAGAAUCAUACAUUUCUUUUUCUCUUUUUUUACAAAGGUGUUAUUUCACAGCCAGCAUUGACCCAGCUGGGAUCCCAGUCUGUGUCCCUGGGUCAGACUGUGACCCUCUCCUGCUCUAAGAAUAAGGGGAGCUGGCAGACCUUUGGCUGGUGUCAACAGAAACCUGGGCAGCCUCCUCGUUUUCUAUGGUAUGGUCCCAGCACCAGGGGAGACGGGGUCCCAGAUAGGUUCACCGCUUCUCCCUCUGAGGAUACCGGCUAUUUAACCAUCUCCAAUGUCCAGGCUGAAGAUGAGGCAGUUUAUCACUGUUUUGCAUGGGAAGGCACCGG
Non-coding RNA from Podarcis lilfordi (Lilford's wall lizard), 621 nucleotides. NCBI's taxonomy places the organism in Eukaryota, Metazoa, Chordata, Lepidosauria, Squamata, Lacertidae. The record is from the annotation of a GenBank genome assembly.